UCAGUGAUGGAUCCAUUGAUGGCAUCUACAGUUACUUGGAUAACGUGGUAAUUCUAGAGCUAAUACAUGCAAACAGAGCCCCGACCACUCGUUGGAAGGGGUGCUUUUAUUAGAUCAAAACCAAUCAGGCUGUAAUGGCUUGUUCGGCUUGGUGACUCUGAAUAACUUUUGGCUGAUCGCACGGUCUUGUACCGGCGACGCAUCUUUCAAAUGUCUGACUUAUCACACUUUCGAUGGUAGGCUCUGCGCCUACUAUGGUUGUAACGGGUAACGGGGAAUCAGGGUUCGAUUCCGGAGAGGGAGCCUGAGAAACGGCUACCACAUCCAAGGAAGGCAGCAGGCGCGCAAAUUACCCACUCCCAGCACGGGGAGGUAGUGACGAAAAAUAACGAUGCAGAACUCAAUCCGAGGCUCUGCAAUCGGAAUGAG
Molecule: ribosomal RNA, 429 nt
Filed under: Trichadenotecnum danieli
Lineage: Eukaryota; Metazoa; Arthropoda; Insecta; Psocodea; Psocidae
Description: SSU rRNA
Rfam family: Eukaryotic small subunit ribosomal RNA
Source: RNAcentral